RNAcentral lists this ribosomal RNA (883 nucleotides) under uncultured bacterium. Its description in RNAcentral is "bacterial SSU rRNA". It matches the Rfam family "Bacterial small subunit ribosomal RNA", at positions 73 to 968 of the family's 1533-position model. The record is from RNAcentral.
GGAGAGCUUGCUCUCUGGAUCAGUGGCGAACGGGUGAGUAACACGUGAGCAAUCUGCCCCUGACUCUGGGAUAACAGUUGGAAACAGCUGCUAAUACCGGAUACGAGACGGAGAGGCAUCUCUACCGUCUGGAAAGUUUUUCGGUCUGGGAUGGACUCGCGGCCUAUCAGCUAGUUGGUGAGGUAAUGGCUCACCAAGGCGACGACGGGUAGCCGGCCUGAGAGGGCGACCGGCCACACUGGGACUGAGACACGGCCCAGACUCCUACGGGAGGCAGCAGUGGGGAAUAUUGCACAAUGGGCGCAAGCCUGAUGCAGCAACGCCGCGUGAGGGACGACGGCCUUCGGGUUGUAAACCUCUUUUAGCAGGGAGGAAGCGAAAGUGACGGUACCUGCAGAAAAAGCACCGGCUAACUACGUGCCAGCAGCCGCGGUAAUACGUAGGGUGCAAGCGUUAUCCGGAAUUAUUGGGCGUAAAGAGCUCGUAGGCGGUUUGUCGCGCCUGCAGUGAAAAUCCGGGGCUCAACCCCGGACUUGCUGUGGGUACGGGCAGACUAGAGUAUGGUAGGGGAGACCGGAAUUCCUGGUGUAGCGGUGGAAUGCGCAGAUAUCAGGAGGAACACCGAUGGCGAAGGCGGGUCUCUGGGCCAUAACUGACGCUAAGAAGCGAAAGCAUGGGGAGCGAACAGGAUUAGAUACCCUGGUAGUCCAUGCCGUAAACGUUGGGCGCUAGGUGUGGGACUCAUUCCACGAGUUCCGUGCCGCAGCUAACGCAUUAAGCGCCCCGCCUGGGGAGUACGGCCGCAAGGCUAAAACUCAAAGGAAUUGACGGGGGCCCGCACAAGCGGCGGAGCAUGCGGAUUAAUUCGAUGCAACGCGAAGAA